AUACAUUUUUGAAACUUUAAUGAUACUUAAUGGGAUACCUUUUUUAUUCUUUUCUGGAGAGAAAUGCCAAAUGAUGAGUGAAAAAAGAGGGAAUCCUGAUUUUAUUUCACUGUUACGGUAUACUUUGUUUAAAGAGAUCAGGGAAGCCCACAGUAGUGAAAAUAAAAUACUUUUCUCAUGUUGCCAAUACUUCCCUACAGAAUUGAAGAUGUCACCCUUGGCUUGUAUGUUAAUUUCAGCCUGUCAACCAUGUCUGGGAUUCAGACACCUGCGAGAAUUGAGGCUGGUGCUCACGGCUGGAGCAGCUCUAGAAGAUGAGUGAGUGUGAACCUGAUCUGUCUGGAAUUUGAAUCUGAUUUGUAUUUAUUUGCUGGGUGGAAUGGCUGAGGCAUCGGUGUGCUAUGUAGCUGAUCUUCAUAUUUAAGCCUCUACUCACCCAGUGACUUGUGUUGACUGUGGGCCUGUUGAACAAACUGCUGCUUCUCUCUGUGUUUCUGUCUCCACUUAGAUAAAAGAAUGGCAGUAAUCCCCGCCAAGGUGAAUGGAAGCCGUCUUUGACCACAUGCAGAUGAUGAGAGACUACAGUGUGAAAUAUCUGUGCUUAAUAAUGAUAACUAGGAGUAUUUGUUGGCAAAUGCAAGCCUCAGGAUGGCAGAAGGGCUGCAAAGUAUAGAGUUGUGGUCCAAAGUGUGCUGCAGUUUUAAACAAAGAAUGGAAACCUAUGUCAUGAUUCUCUUACUUCCCAUUUUACCCACUAAGUAUAAUAUUUGCUAAUCAUCUAAGGGUGACCAAUUGGUUUUCUCCAACUCUUCCAAGCCAUCUGCUGCAGUAAAAUGCACAAAGUGGACCAUGAAAACAGCAGAAGUUUCCAUUUCAAUGUGUAUCCAUCUCCAAUGUCCUUCUCAAGCAUUUUACUUCACAGAAAACUACGUCUAUUAAUACACUAGUAUAUCAUUUAAAGUUUCUGAAUUCUUGAUCUCUUAAUCAUGAUCUGGAUUUAGUUAUUAAUAUAUCAUAACAAAAAUGGAUACCAUAUACUGAGUACUUAUUGUAAAUAUUGGGUCAAAUCCUUACAAAUAUAUUUCUUGUUUAAUUCUAUAUGCAACUCAUGAGACAAGUUCCAGUUUUAUUCCCAUUUUACAUAAGGAACUGAUAGAGUUCUCAGUGAUUUGUUACUUUAACAUUACAUGUUUAACUAUUAUGCUGUACUUCCCCAAAUAAACCAUGCUCUCUGGCUACCCA
Molecule: long non-coding RNA, 1242 nt
Organism: Bos indicus x Bos taurus (hybrid cattle)
Lineage: Eukaryota; Metazoa; Chordata; Mammalia; Artiodactyla; Bovidae
Source: Ensembl